UCGGCGCUAAUACCUCAUAAUGCAGCGGAUCCGCAUGGAUAUGUUGUUAAAGGUUUACCGCCUUGGGAUAGGCUUGCGUCUGAUUAGCUAGUUGGUGUGGUAACGGCACACCAAGGCUACGAUCAGUAACUGGUCUGAGAGGAUGAUCAGUCACACUGGAACUGAGACACGGUCCAGACUCCUACGGGAGGCAGCAGUGAGGAAUAUUGGGCAAUGCUCGAAAGAGUGACCCAGCAACGCCGCGUGGAGGAUGAAGGUAUUCUAUAUCGUAAACUCCUGUGAGAGCAGACGAAAGACAGAUUAUUAAUCUGGAUGACUGUAUGCUCAGAGGAAGCCCCGGCUAACUACGUG
Molecule: ribosomal RNA, 351 nt
Filed under: uncultured bacterium
Lineage: Bacteria
Description: bacterial SSU rRNA
Rfam family: Bacterial small subunit ribosomal RNA
Source: RNAcentral